CGUCCGCCUGCUCCACGGCGUCCCCGGGCCUGAGGACACGGGACGACUGGGCCCCCCCCAGCUCUGGCCGCUCGCCCGACGCCCGAGUCCUUUCAGCCUCCGGGUGAACUCAAGCGCCGCUGCGCUCACGGCCCGUCGGGCCACCAGGGGGCGCCCGCCCGCCCGGCGCGGGGCUGAGGCUGCUCUCUUUCCGGGGACUCAACGAAGGCAGGCGGAGGUGCCUUCCAAAAUGCACCUUGGGCCGACUGGUUCACAAUGAAUAAAAAGACAUUUAUUAUGUAAGUGCAACAGCAGGUGGCUUUCCCUACCCUCUUCUCGGAGAUGAGGUACCAGGUGCAGAGGAACCCCGGCUUUUACCGAGGGGACGGACUUGGGGGCCAAAGCCAGGGUGUGCAAGGCUGGUGGGAACGCGCUGCCUGAAUAUGGCCAAGUCUCCGGCAGAACAGCAUUUAAGCUUCGAACAUGUGAUACGUGACUGGAUGGAAUUCCUGGAGAACUGUAUUAACACGUUUCAAAGAGUUGAAUCCUGAGACUUGAAUAGAAACAUUGGCUCUUCCUGGAUCUCCAACCUGCCAGCCUUUGAACUAGAACUAUACUGUUGGCUCUCUUGGGUCUCCAGCUGACUGACUAUAGAUCUUGGGACUCGUCAGCCUGCAUAAUCAUGCAACAGCGGUACAACGGUGGAGAAAGUUGUUAAAGUGCCUCCUCAUUUUUGGCUGGAUGUGAUAAAUCUUUUUGCUCAUAGCACACACAUACCUACUUACUUCACCUCCAAGUUAGUUUUUUGGGGACUUUUUUAUCAACAGUAACAUAUCCUGAUGAUUUCAAGUCUGUAAGGAAAUGGAUAAUAUUCUCUUAAAAAAAAAAUUAGGUAGCUCAUCUUAGGUCAUUCUAAUUACUGCAGCAGCUUCUUAAAAUUCUUCUAUGCCAUAGGGCUUCCCUGGUGGCACAGUGGUUAAGAACCCACCUGCCAUUGCAGGGUACACAGGUUCGAGCCCUGGUCCGGGAAGAUCCCACAUGCUGUGGAGCAACUAAGCCUGUGUACCACAACUACUGAGCCUGCGCUCUAGAGCCCGCGAGCCACAACUACAGAGCUCACGUGCUAAAAUUACUGAAGCCCGCGCGCCUAGAGCCCGUGCUCCGCAACAAGAGAAGCCACCACAAUGAGAAGCCCGCGCACCACAACGAAGACCCCACGCAGCCAAAAAUAAAUAAAUAAAUAAAAUUUAAAAAAUAAAAAUUUUUCUAUGCCAUAAUUGUCUAUAUACAUGUGAACCUUUUGUAACCAUUCCUUUGUUUUUUAUUCUCAUUUGCUUCACAAGUACUUGGCAUAUUGUUUUCAAAGAUAGCUACAAUUUCUCCCAUCCCACCAGCCCCAUAGUGAUAUGACUUUAUCACUCUUAUUAUUAAGAGAUGAAGUCUCUUUCCCCUCCCCUUGGUCUGUGCUGGUCCUGAGAUCUGCUGUGACCAACGGCAUGCAACAGAUGUGACACUGUGUGACUUCUGGCUCUAAGUUUUAAGAGGUCUUGAGGUUUCCAUUUUCACCCUUGGAAAGAUGUUCAACCUAGACUACCAACUAAUACGAGCAGACCAAGAUAACCAAGUGCAGAUAAAGGUUACAUGGAGGACUGCUUUCAGCAUGAGAGCCCCAAAUAUGUGUGUGCCGUCUUGGAUCCUCCAGCCCCAGUCAAGCCACCCCAGCCAGCACGGUAUGGAGCAAGAAGCAAGCUGUCUCCUGUGACUCUUGCUCAAGUUCCUGACCCACAGAAUGGUGAGCAAUAAAAUGGUUGCUGAUUUCAGCUACUAAGUUUUGGAGUGGAUUGUGAUGCAGCAAAAGAUUACUGGAACUUUUCUUUUCUUCCUCUUGUCAUUACAUUGUUUUUCAGGACAGGAACCAUGUCCAAUGCAUUUUUUUGAUGUCUCUCCACAAAGCAAUGUACUGAUUGCACAAUAGCUGUAACUGAGUGUUAAUUCCACUUCAAAUGUCUGGAGAAAAUUUCUCAGGAUUAAGUUGAUAAAUUUCAUUGAAUGUUC
Balaenoptera acutorostrata (minke whale) is the source of this 2034-nucleotide long non-coding RNA. RefSeq lists it as uncharacterized. The transcript is spliced from 4 exons. The record is from RefSeq and is a predicted model, not a curated record. NCBI's taxonomy places the organism in Eukaryota, Metazoa, Chordata, Mammalia, Artiodactyla, Balaenopteridae.